CAGCCGCCGCGGGAAUACGGAGGGGGCUAGCGUUGUUCGGAAUUACUGGGCGUAAAGCGCACGUAGGCGGACCGGAAAGUCAGAGGUGAAAUCCCAGGGCUCAACCUUGGAACUGCCUUUGAAACUCCUGGUCUUGAGGUCGAGAGAGGUGAGUGGAAUUCCGAGUGUAGAGGUGAAAUUCGUAGAUAUUCGGAGGAACACCAGUGGCGAAGGCGGCUCACUGGCUCGAUACUGACGCUGAGGUGCGAAAGCGUGGGGAGCAAACAGGAUUAGAUACCCGCGUAGUCCCUGUCUCUUAUAC
This 301-nucleotide ribosomal RNA is filed under the name uncultured bacterium. Its description in RNAcentral is "partial 16S ribosomal RNA". It matches the Rfam family "Bacterial small subunit ribosomal RNA", at positions 509 to 807 of the family's 1533-position model. The record is from RNAcentral.